ACAUGAAUCAUGUAGCAACAUUGUUAAAAUAUGGAUUCUGAUUCAGUAAGGCUGGGGUGGAGGCCAAGAGCCCACAUUUCUAACAAACUUCCAGGUGAAGUUUGU
This 105-nucleotide microRNA precursor is filed under the name Marmota monax (woodchuck). The record is from RNAcentral. Lineage: Eukaryota; Metazoa; Chordata; Mammalia; Rodentia; Sciuridae.